AUGCACGCUGGCGGCGUGCCUAAUCCAUGCAAGUCGCGCGCACGGACGAGAAGCUUGCUUCUCUGAUGUUAGCGGCGGACGGGUGAGUAACACGUGGAUAACCUACCUAUAAGACUGGGAUAACUUCGGGAAACCGGAGCUAAUACCGGAUGAUAUUUUGAACCGCAUGGUUCAAAAGUGAAAGACGGUCUUGCUGUCACUUAUAGAUGGAUCCGCGCUGCAUUAGCUAGUUGGUAAGGUAACGGCUUACCAAGGCAACGAUGCAUAGCCGACCUGAGAGGGUGAUCGGCCACACUGGAACUGAGACACGGUCCAGACUCCUACGGGAGGCAGCAGUAGGGAAUCUUCCGCAAUGGGCGAAAGCCUGACGGAGCAACGCCGCGUGAGUGAUGAAGGUCUUCGGAUCGUAAAACUCUGUUAUUAGGGAAGAACAUAUGUGUAAGUAACUGUGCACAUCUUGACGGUACCUAAUCAGAAAGCCACGGCUAACUACGUG
Molecule: ribosomal RNA, 496 nt
Filed under: uncultured bacterium
Lineage: Bacteria
Description: partial 16S ribosomal RNA
Rfam family: Bacterial small subunit ribosomal RNA
Source: RNAcentral